AGUGAACGCUGGCGGUAGGCCUAACACAUGCAAGUCGAACGGCAGCACAGUAAGAGCUUGCUCUUACGGGUGGCGAGUGGCGGACGGGUGAGGAAUACAUCGGAAUCUACUUUUUCGUGGGGGAUAACGUGGGGAAACUUACGCUAAUACCGCAUACGACCUACGGGUGAAAGCAGGGGAUCUUCGGACCUUGCGCGAUUGAAUGAGCCGAUGUCGGAUUUGCUAGUUGGCGGGGUAAAGGCCCACCAAGGCGACGAUCCGUAGCUGGUGUGAGAGGAUGAUCAGCCACACUGGAACUGAGACACGGUCCAGACUCCUACGGGAGGCAGCAGUGGGGAAUAUUGGACAAUGGGCGCAAGCCUGAUCCAGCCAUACCGCGUGGGUGAAGAAGGCCUUCGGGUUGUAAAGCCCUUUUGUUGGGAAAGAAAAGCAGCAGGUUAAUACCCCGCUGUUCUGACGGUACCCAAAGAAUAAGCACCGGCUAACUUCGUG
This 492-nucleotide ribosomal RNA is filed under the name uncultured bacterium. Its description in RNAcentral is "partial 16S ribosomal RNA". It matches the Rfam family "Bacterial small subunit ribosomal RNA", at positions 29 to 507 of the family's 1533-position model. The record is from RNAcentral.